AACCUAGACAUAUCUUUACAUAUAUGUCCGCCCGGGUACUACGAGCUACAGCUUAAAACCCAAAGGACUUGGCGGUGUCUCAGACCCACCUAGAGGAGCCUGUUCUAGAACCGAUAACCCCCGUUAAACCUCACCCCUUCUUGUUUUUCCGCCUAUAUACCGCCGUCGUCAGCUUACCCUGUGAAGGCCUAAUAGUAAGCAAAAUGGGUCCACCCAAAAACGUCAGGUCGAGGUGUAGCGCACGAAGGGGGAAGAAAUGGGCUACAUUUUCUAAAUAACAGAAUACUACGAAUGAGCACUCUGAAAUAUAGUGCCUGAAGGUGGAUUUAGUAGUAAAAAGCAAAUAGAGAGUCCUUUUGAAUUAGGCUCUGAGACGCGCACACACCGCCCGUCACUCUCCCCUUAUGCUAACAAAACUAAUAUUCAUAAUACCUUACUUAACAAUAAGGGGAGGCAAGUCGUAACAUGGUAAGUGUACCGGAAGGUGUACUUGGAAUAAU
This 500-nucleotide ribosomal RNA is filed under the name Clupisoma sinense. RNAcentral's name for it is "partial 12S ribosomal RNA". It matches the Rfam family "Bacterial small subunit ribosomal RNA", at positions 801 to 1533 of the family's 1533-position model. The record is from RNAcentral. Lineage: Eukaryota; Metazoa; Chordata; Actinopteri; Siluriformes; Ailiidae.